GCUGGUAUGGCGCAAUGGUAACGCAACUGAUUUGUAAUCAGUAGAUUGUAGGUUCGAGUCCUAUUACCAGCUCCA
Molecule: transfer RNA, 75 nt
Filed under: Caudoviricetes sp.
Lineage: Duplodnaviria; Heunggongvirae; Uroviricota; Caudoviricetes
Description: tRNA-Thr
Rfam family: tRNA
About the family: Transfer RNA (tRNA) molecules are approximately 80 nucleotides in length. Their secondary structure includes four short double-helical elements and three loops (D, anti-codon, and T loops).
Source: RNAcentral